RNAcentral lists this long non-coding RNA (5241 nucleotides) under Volvox carteri. RNAcentral's name for it is "long non-coding RNA (VCAR_LNC004054)". The record is from RNAcentral. Lineage: Eukaryota; Viridiplantae; Chlorophyta; Chlorophyceae; Chlamydomonadales; Volvocaceae.
CGAGCCACUUAGCGCGGUUCGGGCCAUACCACUCGAUACCAGAGCUCUUGGGGGCAGCCGGCUGUAAAGAUGUUGCGAACGGAACAAACGUCUCUGGUUAGCGGAAGGACACUGCAAAUGCGUAUUUGCAUCUAUGUAAGGCACGCUGAUAAAAUAAAUGGUGUCGAAAUAAAACGGACCUUAGCAGCGGCCUUCUUGCCGGUCGCCUUGCAUGCGACCUGCAGAGCCUUGCGAGAGGUGGCGAGAGCGAAAGCCAUUUUAGAUGUUCGUAAGGUGAUCAGACUCUGCUGCACAAAGGAGAGAACUGAUACUGAAAGCACAGGCAACCAGCGCUUUUGUUUUGCAAGCAAAUCUUGAUGCCGUACGCACGCCGUAUCCCUGUCCUGUCUGUGGGACAGGGCGUUUACCUAACAGAGAUCGCAGGAUACAGACAUGGCACACCUGCAACACAUGCGCUUAGCAGCUAUCUGCACCUGCACAGAUUGGCAUGAACGAUUUGCUACACCUGUUUGCAAGUUUCAUACAAGUUUGUGAUGCAAGGAUAACUCAGUGGCGACUGUAUAAAUGCUGUGACGUGCACGUUGAAGAUGGAUUUUGAUACGCACUGCAAAACCUUGUUUAGGCGCCAAAAGGAUCCUUCCGUGUUUGACCCUAGCUGUUCGGCCUUUACUCAUUACCAGUACCGUAGGACGGGAGGACAGUAGCUGUUGUCCUUGCUAGGAAGCAAGCUGAUAUAAUGGGUCACGCUGCUUAGGACGGCAAAGGGCAUUCUUUCCCGGACAGGGCCGGUGAACACAAGGUCCAAGCUCUGCUGGACCGCAAAAGGGCGACAGCGCCGAACCGGAGGCCGUUUAGGACCAAAGGAAGGCAACAAGUACGCGCGAAGCAGCCUGUUGUAGCAACACAUCCGAUCAAGGGAGGACGGGCGGCCUCGACCAAACGCAUGAGCUCUUAGCAACCUACAAUCAGCCACGGGCUUCCAAACGUCGGAGCCUAAGGCUGGCACCUGGGAAAAGCUCCUACUUUGCCCCGGGCUUGCCUUUGACCUCUGAAGUAAUGAAUGGAACGUCAGCACGCCCUGUGUUUGUUACCUCUUUUGCCAGGUGUUUCACCAUGCAAGCUACAUGUUGAGCACUCCACGCAUGCUUAGCUUCAGGCUAUCAAUUGAACUGUGAAAGGACCUUCUUGUGACCAGCAGUUUCAUGCAUAAAGUCGCUGGUCGCAGUAUCAGAUAGACAAGGGACAGCGGGUAGCCUAUUUGUGCCUUUCCGGGAGAGUGCUGGGCCCAUGGCACUGGCAUACGGUAUUCGGUUCUUAAGUUACGGGAGCAGGUGGUCAAACCAUUGGCGAUGCUGCAUGCUCUGGCCUUGCGGAUGCGAAACUGAUCGAAAGGGGCCUGCCAGCCAGGGUGAUACUGAAAGCAAUAGCCAGCAUGCAGCGGCGUCCAUCUGGUUGCCGAGCUUUUAAGACUCCAUAUCAUUGCACGUCCCAUGGUUCUACACCGGACUGUAAUCCAGGUAACGGCAUCGCUCAUUACAAGGCUCCAGUCCGACUUCGUACCUUCUUCCUUCGGCUUCAGGGUGGCGUGUGCGUGUGUGUGCGUGUGUGUGUGUGUGUGUGUGUGUGUGUGUGUGUGUGUGUGUGUGUGUGUGCGUGUGUGUGCGCAUGUGUGUGUGCGUGUGUGUGUGCGUGUGUGUGUGCGUGUGUGUGUGUGUGCGUGUGUGUGUGUGUGUGUGUGUGUUGUUGUUGUUAUUAUUGUUGUUACAUGGUCGUGGGUGCGUUCCCCGUACCUGCAAACCACCCUAAAACGAGCCGAGGGCUCAAGGGCUGCCAGAUCGCCUAUAAGCACCAUCCUACCUCGCACUUCCAACGAAACAAGUGAUGAAGGAUACUCACGACCAAAGGGAACGAUAGAGUUGCGGUGGGACCAUAUACGUUCCAGCAUCCUUGCCAGGCGUUCAGGUUCCCACCUCAUAGCGUCUUUCGUGUGCUCGAAGCGUGGGAAACCCAUAUCAGAUCUGAUUUUGUCGUACACCAGACAGUCCAGCAAAAUGUGCUUCUCAUCCUCGAUAUGGCUAUCAGUGCCGCAGCAAGGGCAUACUCGCUCCUCCCUAGGGAUAUAACGCCGUCCCUUACGCGCUCUGUUAGCCGCCAAUGCCCAACAGCAAAGCCUAAACUGCAUAAGCUUGCGAUUCGCUGAGCGCGGGACAAACAUUGUGAUAUGCGGGAGCAACUCCUUCCUGCCCGCUUGUUCGGCCGCCAGGCCCAUCCAAUUCUUAUACUUCGCCAUGUGAAUUCCUGGUUGCUUGCCGUCUGACGGGUACACGUCUGGCUGGACAUGUGUGUGUGCGUGUGUGUGCGUGUGUGUGUAUGUGUGUGUGUGUGUGCGCGUGUGUGCGUGUGUGUGUGCGUGUGUGCGUGUGCGUGUGUGUGUGCGUGUGCGUGUGUGUGUGCGUGUGUGUGUAUGUGUGUGCAUGACAAAAAAAGAAAGAGAGUGAGUGUGUGUUUGUGUUUGUGUGUCUUGGUGUUUGUGAGUUUGUGAGUUUGUGAGUUUGUGUUAUGCAUAUCGACACUUUUUUACGUGGUGCUGAUGCUGUGCUAUCCGAAACGGGACACAUAAGCCCGAGGCGAGCGCCACAAUAAGCCUUCUUGGUGCAUCGGGGUACCUUCCAGCGGCAACGUAGUUCCUGGCUGUGAGGAAGGUAGCGAGCCUGGUUCGCGGAGGCCGAGGCCGCUGUACGCAAGAGGGAUUGGCGAUGACCUAUGCCGCGCCAGUGAUGAUGUCGGCGGGGAGUGACCUACCAACGUGGUUUGCUGAAGUUUAACUCUUGCACUGUACGACAACCGAGGGCAUCAACCCGCGAUUAAGCGCCUAGCUCACUUCGCUAACACAGGACAGCCACGAUAACCCUUGGCUUCUUUCGCGCGAUAGAGCGUGGCCACAUGCACCUCGAAUCAUCCCUCUGAAUGAUGACAUGUUCCUUUAGCUCAUGUCUCGCGCGUGUUCCCCAUGUGUGCCUGUUGCGUGGCCGCCUUUGCAGUACGUGCCCACCAAAUUGGCUGUAUGUGCUCCAGACCCAAGAAGCGGUGAAACAAGCACUGGAACCGACACCUUCCUUAUGUCAUGAACACCGAAAUGUUACAGGAGCUUGCUUGGCGCAACGCACCCAGCACGUGCAUGCGCCUUGUAUGAAGCUCUUGACAUCUCACGUCUCACCGCCCACUACCCCACCCAAAAGUAAGAGCUCCACCUCAACACCCGUGCUGUGGGAAACCCCUGCUGGGAAACACCCACAACAAAACUUCAGGCCCGUAACAGGACCGCUUCCGCCGCUGCUCACCACUCACCACUCACCACGGCUCCAUGCGGAAAUUCAUCGCAGGAACACGACAUAAAAACCACAGGUGGCCACAGUGCGACAACGAGGUUCGAUGGACAUAACUGACAAGCACCCACGCAUCACUCAACAGUUUUGGUAAGUUGCGCAUCCAAGCGUGUUUACCCAACAGCGACGGAUAGGCAACUACUGCCUGCAAUUGCUAUGCAUGUGACGUCUCGUAUACCGGUAUUGGCAGUUUAUUGGUUAUGUUGUGUCUACGUUCACAUAGCUAAACAACGUAACGUAACUGAAGGCAGCAGCGGCCGGCAGAUGCGGACAACCACCUCGACUAGCAAACAUAGCAGCGAUACAUUACGCGCUGGGCGUGAACUUGGUGGCGAAGGCGAAGGCGUUGUUGACGGCCGGGUUGGCCAGAUGGUCGUUCAGGUUCUCAAUGGGCCCCUUGCCGGUCACAAUGGCCUGCACGAAGAAGCCGAACAUGGAGAACAUGGCCAGGCGGCCGUUCUUGAUCUCCUUGACCUUGAGCUCGGCGAAGGUGUCCGGGUCGUCAGCCAGGCCCAGGGGGUCGAACGACUCGCCGGGGUACAGCGGGUCCAGGCCCUCGCCGGCCGGGCCGCCGUUCACACGGUAGCCCUCCACCAGGCCCAUCAGGAUCACCUGCGCGGCAUGUGAGCAGCGAGAGCGGGGGAGAAGACAGCAGUCAAUACGGAUAUGCAACACGCCAUCUAACGCGUCGUCUGCUCGCUUGGGGCUACGUUGCAAUAAAACCAAGCUGGAUAGGAAACGAGACACCCAGAUUCCUGGAUGUGCGAUAUCGCACAAUGCUCACAUGCCACAAGGCUCAAACUAGGCAUCCAAAGCCAAGCUGAAUGUAAGAGCGCGCAAAAGGCAGGGGAGCUUACUACAGUCAAGCGCUGGCAGAGAACAGUUGCCGCGCCCCACCUUGUUUCACCUAGCCAGCUAACAAGUAAGGCGACCGGACACAUUCCUAAGCAUGCAGCCACGUCCCUCCCGCCCACCUGGCACGCCAGCGUCGCGACAAUGUUCUGAGCGUGCACCAGCGACGGGUUGCCCAGGUAGUCCAGGCCGCCCUCCUGGAAGAUCUGAGCGCCGGCCUUGAACCACACAGCCUCACCGAACUGCACGCCGUUCUUGGACAGCAGCUCGGGGGUCACGCAGCCCAGAGCACCAAGCAUGGCCCAGCGCGCAUGGAUCAGCUCCAGCUCGCGGUAGCGCUUGAACGUCUCCGGGUCAGCAGACAGGCCGGCAGUGUCCCAGCCGUAGUCACCGGGGAACUCGCCAGUCAGGUAGGCAGGGGUGGCAUUCUCGCUGUAGGGGCCUGUCCGAUGUGGGCACAGAAGGGGAAAGCGAGCAUACGGCGGCAGCGGGCUACUGAACGGCAGGUCACGAAAGGGGGAAAGGCACCUGUGCCCUUCAUCGCAGCAUGCAUCACGCGAUGUAAGCAAAGGACCGAAAGAGCAGCCUGCGCACAGAAACCUGACGCUGCGGCAUGUUGCGCCGAAAGGAGGACCAUGCACGAGACCGACCGAUUACUCCGGCCCUCCGAUACGCGCUACACCCGCUGCAUAUCGGAUCUUCUUCGCAGGAUAACCUACCGAGCCACUUAGCGCGGUUCGGGCCAUACCACUCGAUACCAGAGCUCUUGGGGGCAGCCGGCUGUAAAGAUGUUGCGAACGGAACAAACGUCUCUGGUUAGCGGAAGGACACUGCAAAUGCGUAUUUGCAUCUAUGUAAGGCACGCUGAUAAAAUAAAUGGUGUCGAAAUAAAACGGACCUUAGCAGCGGCCUUCUUGCCGGUCGCCUUGCAUGCGACCUGCAGAGCCUUGCGAGAGGUGGCGAGAGCGAAAGCCAUUUUAGAUGUUCGUAAGGUGAUCAGACU